Molecule: long non-coding RNA, 40359 nt
Filed under: Linum usitatissimum (flax)
Lineage: Eukaryota; Viridiplantae; Streptophyta; Magnoliopsida; Malpighiales; Linaceae
Description: long non-coding RNA (LUSI_LNC002839)
Source: RNAcentral
ACGCAUGCUUCUAUAUAACAAUUUUAAUAAUUCGUAAGAUAAUUAUUGGAUUUUUUUAAGCGGAAUUAGUCAAAACAAAGUCGUCGAGUUAUAGAUAAGAUAGAAGUGACACCAUAAUUCUUUUUUUUUGUAAAAAUGAUGAUAUGUACUUUUUUGUUUCCAUUUCAUUCAUUUUCCGUUUUCCAACAACUCAAAAGCGAACAACAGUCAACCGAACCGAUCAAGAAAGAGCGAACCGAUCAAGAAAGAGACUCGAGAACAAACAAACCAGAACCAUAACCAAAGACCCACAACGGACUCGAGAACAAACAAACCAGAACCAUAACCAAUACCAGUAACCAAAGAGCACAGACGCUCAGACCUAAUUCAACUAAAGCGAACACUCGAUAAUGCAAAAACAGGAUAAUUGGACUAGAUCAUCGGAUCUGAUCCAUUCUCUAACUCCUCCAGCUACCACCGUCAGAGUCACCGCCACUCCUGGAGGAGUAACGGGAACCACCACCAUAACCCCCAUCACUACGGUCACGGCCGCCUCCAUAACCACCGCCUCCAUAGCCGCCGCCUCCUUCACGGCUUCCAUACGAUCGGCCACCGCCGCCUCCGUAUCCACCUUCUCUGCGUCCACCGCCGUAUCCACGGCCACCACCGCCUCCUCCUGAGCUGCCGCGAGACUGAGCCUCGUUGACUGUGAUGUUACGGCCGUCAAGAUUCUGUCCGUUCAUCCCUUCGAUGGCAUCCUUCAUCGACUUCUCGUUGUUAAAGGUCACGAAUCCGAAUCCCCGAGAUCUUCCGGUCUCACGGUCGUUGAUCACCUGUAGACAGCAAAACAAACAAAAGAAGUUGACAGAUCCGUUAGAUCUGAGCAUAGAACGAAUGAAUUUGAACAAAAACUGAGCUGAGAAUAUGGAAAAUUAAAAAAAAAAUCGAUCGAUCUUCUCCCAAAGGAUGAAGACGGACGUACCGAUUGGAGAUAGUUUUAGAGAGUAGAGUAACAUAAAACAGAGUAACACAGUAACAGAGAAUAGUAACAGAGAAACACAGAUCAGAUCGGAUAGAACACAGGAUCCUGGAUCAGACAUAGCCGGAAUAAGUUCGUUUCCGUCAGAUCCCGAUCCCUGCGAAACCACCGUGGUGACAAACGGACCUUCGAUUCGACGACUUCGCCAAAGGUGCUGAAGGCCUCGUUGAGUGCAUCGUCGUUGGUAGCCCAUGCUAGGCCACCAACGAAGCACCUGUACUCAACAUCGGCGGAAGCCAUUAUAGAACUGAAAUUGAGAGUAAAAACUAGCAGAUAAUGCGGCUGCCGAUUUUGCGUUGAGGAUGAGGAGAAAUGGGCGGAGGGAUUGUGGGGAUUAUAUAGUCGGGGGAUAGGGCUUAACUAGGGCUAGUUGUACCUCUUUCGACGUCGUUUUGGAUUCCGGGAGCCGGCUGGGAGUCCAGUUAUCAAAUUCUUACCUUGGUUGGGAACAAGGUUACGUAACGUUCGCGUUGGUUAAACCCUGGUUAAGGUUUAGUUAGAGGGCGGGAUAUUUUAUCUUAAAGAUAUUUUAUGAUAACUGGUUAGUUAAUGCUCAAACUUUAUGUAAUUACAAUCCGCACUAGUUUCCAAUUAAUUGGGAGGGACAAUACUCGUUAUGUAUAAUAUAAAGAAAGAAAAAUGUUUAACUAAAUUGUGAGAAAUUUUUAUUGUAUCUCUUUUUAAAAUGAACUUAAUAAGAUAUAAUUACACAUCAUAGAUUGACAUUCUAAUGAUAUAUCUAAAUUCAAUUUGUUCUUCGUAUUAGCUUUGUGUAAUUUAAAAUUUAACUAGUUAUUUAAUGCUUAAACUUCAUGUAAAUACAAUCAACAGAGUCGGAUUUAUAUGAAUUCAUUAUCCAUUCGAUGUAUUUUUGGAUUCGGGGAAUCCCCGCCCGAUGAUAGCAAUUGGAUUUAGAUUUUAUACCAUUCCCGCCCAUCGCCGAAUUUCGGAUUUGGUCUGAUAUCCAAAUUUGAUCUGAAACAUACUAAACCAAGAUUGAAACCUGAGUUUAAAUCAAAGCAAAAUCAACCAAACACCGUCAAAUUAUCCAAAAUACUAAAAUUUAGUUAACAACCUUCAUUAGCAAAACUCAUUAUACCAACUAGCAACUUAAACUAAACAUAAUCCCUCCAACAGAAAUAUAAACCAAACUAAUCUAGAGUUUUUUUUUGCAGGUAUAUAUACUUUCAGGCGGAAUAUGAUCGGAUACCAGUGCAUCCGAUACUCACCCGGUCAAACAUGAUUUUUCCUGCGUUGACCAGAUAGAAUUCGGACGGUUUUUCAAAUUUCCAGAUGAAAAUGGCAAGCCUAAUCAAAAUUUACAAACUGAAUUGGCUUUUAUGUAAGAGUUAGGGUGGUUAGACGAUGAAUCUAUUAAAGUUGGUGGAGGGAAACUAGAAAUAUAUCCGGCCAAGUGGGACUGGACUCUCUUUAACCAUGGUUAGGUGUGAGUUGCGGGGUUCGCGGCGGUGGUGGGAAAUAAACUACUCACUGAUUCAGAGAGAGAGAGAGAGAGAGAGCGGCCAAGUGAGCCCCACUUUGCAGUCCCCGCCAAUACAUGCUGAGUUGUAAAUUUCCAGAGCGGAUAUUUUUAUGUGCUUUUCUCAAAAUAUCUACUCCGCCGAAAGUACAACUUUGCCCCUCCCUCCCUAACUACUCCACUGGUGCAAUUUCCGUUAAUUACUUUUUAGGUGGAGGUGGUCCCCAGAAAAUUGUUUUAUUAAUAUUUAAUACCACAAAAAAGGAAACUAAUUAGAGUUCAUCACUUUUAUAGUUUCAUUUUUACUGUACAUUCUAAUUCUUCCAGUCCCUGUACAAAUCAGUCAACUUUCACCAACACUCAAUCAUGAAAAAGGAUAUCAAGAAGCUUUUUGACGAUAAUCGAUCUAUUCGUUGUGAAUAUUUCACGAAGUUAUAAAUUAAUCUUCGAGUUCUCAAUUUAACAUGGGCAACAUGACUUUAAACUUGUACCAUGACCGUAAACUGUUGAAUCAUACGGUUCUGAAUUGUAGUUGAACAAUGAAGAAACUAUAAUUAUAUCGAGAUUGUAUAUAACUUUAAGAUGAGUGUUUCAUGGUGAGAUUAAUACGACUUAGAAAACAGUCAAACCGAAACAGUUAAAUGGGCUAUAAUUAGUUCGAACUACUGGUUGGGCCAGCCCAUUCAUGUAUUUUUAAUUCAGUUUUUUUCAUAUUGUCAUUAGCUUUGUUUACGGGCCUACUUUAUCUUAAAAUUGGGCAUUGUUUUACAGUGUGGGCUAGGAAGUUUCGGCCUAUUUACGGUUUAUGAAAGUCUUAAAACGAGGCGACUUAAAGCCCACAAUUGGAAGUUUAUUAUGUAAAUCAAAACUGGCCCGUAAAUGCUGAGUCGAUAAUCGGGAGGUCAAACUGUCGAGAGAACGUGCAUUUAUAGUAGAAAAUAAAAUGUCUACUAUCGACGCAAACACAAGACAAAAGAAUAUAUAUACACAUUAACCGAUUUCGAUUUGAGAAUUUCGCCAGUAACACUGAUGGUUUUUUGGACAUAAUGAUAAAAAUAGAUUAUAGAGGAAAGGGGGGGAAGGUAUGUAACUCACAUGAAUAAUAAUCCAAAAACUCAAAGUAGUUAGGGUUUCAUUGUCAUCCAGAGUUGUUUGUUUAUAAAAGUUAGAACUACAAUAUAAGAAGGCCACACGUAUUGAUAAAGUUGUGUGACUUAAACUUCCAUCAAAAGAUACUACACCCCAAAUAUGCUAAUACUUAAUUAAUAAUAAUAAUAAUAAUGUAUAUGUUGCACACACAAAAUCAAUUUUAGGGUUAGGAUUUGAUGUUUCAACCUCAAUUUAUUAGAGUGGAAUUAAUAUUUUUAAUAUACAUAUUGAGGGAAAUCAUCCUUGUUUAUCCUUAUAGAGGUUGUAAAACCCUAAUUUAUUUGAUAGUGUUGUUGAGGGUUGAGGUGGUAGCAUGUGGGUGAUUAGAUCUGUAUGCGCAUUCUAAUUGUUAUAGGCUGUCGUUAUGAUUUCGUUAGAAAAAUGUCACACAAACCCUUUGAGGCAAUAACCUAAUUAGGGCGAAGUUCACCAAGUUGCGGGGCUUGAGCGACUUGUAUUUGAGAUGCGGCUUGUUUGGCCCUUGGGCUGUCAACGGUCCCUUAACUAUCGUUAAGAUUGUUGACUAGUGACGGACGAUUAACUUCUUACCGUCAGCUUUUACCUAUAGGUCCAAAAAAUCAAGAUAGGAGUAGUAUCGAUCUCCAUUUGUUUAGUUUAAUGAAGAUUAAAUAAUUUCGAUCUAAAUAUUUUUUAAAUAAUUCAAAAGCCACAUCUACCGAAUGAAAUUUCAAAUUCAGUUCCAUGACACUUCCUCCAACACAACCCGCUGCGGAGACAUUCCUCCCCACUUUGUCUAAUCUAACUAAAACUGAAAUUAGGAGUCCAAAUGAGUCAACUAAAACUCAUCACUUUAGUUCCAAUGAAAUAACCAAUGUAUAACAUUCUAAUUAAUUCAAGUACUUUGUGACAGAAAAUCUAAUUCGAAACCAUGAUGAUAUUUUUCGACAUAUACCUAAAUUUCGUGACAUUCUAAAGUUCUUUGCCAAAAAUAAAAGAUUCAAAUUCAAGUCCGGUGCUAAAUUUUAAUUCAAGUAACCGUCCCAAAUUCGUCUCUGUACAUAACAUCAACCACUAGAAAAAGUUAUUACAAAAUUAGUGGAAUAUCAGAAAGAUCCACAGAAAAAUGGUCAAAUAAUAAGCCAAAAUUAGCAAAGGAAUAUAUGUUUUCGGGGGGAAAAAACAAAGGCUAUGAGGUUGAAGUUUGUCCAGAUCGUUAGAAUUUCGUAUGUGGGAAUUGGUGGGAACUGUGAGUUUAUCCCUAUGUCAUUUCAGUAAUUAAAUUCUUUAAUUAAUCAGUCAAAACACUUUUUGAUUUUUAUGGGUUUGGUUAAGCAAUUAAUUAAAUUAAAUUAUACCGACUAUAGCUUAUAUGAUGCGACUUGCAUAACAAACCCUUACCAAUCUUUGAUUUUAAAAUCUUAACAUAAUGUUUAAUUAUGUGCAUAGUUUACAAAUUAAUUAAUUAAUUUGUAGAUGUGGGAUAGUGUAUGUAACACUAUGCACCGCCCAAUGUAAGUACCUCCCUGCACGUUGUUAACAUUGCAGAUGGUAGCUUGCAAUUGACCCGAAAUUGUAUCAAUGAUUCCAUUAACAAUCAUUUUUUUGAGUUAAAAGUUCGUUAUUGAUUCGCCUAAAUAUUAUAUGGUAGAUGUUGUUCACGUUGAAAGUUCAAUCAUUCAAUCGGUUUCAUUUGAUUCGUGACACGUCAAUUAUAAUAACUGUGACAAGGCAGCCUCCAUAUUGGCUCAAACUCAUUGAUUCGUGAGGAUUUAAAUGGCUUGCAAGGCAAGUAAUUAAUUGCCAUUAUAAUUGGGUAAAAUUAUAUAUGGCCACUUACAAUGCUUUAGCAAUAAGGCUGGUAUUCUUUUGCAAUCAAACUUACUGAGACCCAAAGAACGAGUAACAGUCUCAACGUGGCUUUUCCGGCCCGAUGCAAUGUUACCACGCAUACGCAUGCAGGGGUCGGAUAUGUCUAGGCUGCCGACUCUCUUUUUUCUUCUGUCGCGACAAAUACGUGUUAAUUAUUCGAACAGCUGAAAAAAGCGUCAACACGGUAAUCGAACAUCGGAUAUGGGCCGGAACACACGCAAUCACGAUCGGGACAAGCUAUCGAAAAAGGUUUUUAAAAAUAACGAAACAAAUCCAAAAACCGGAUGGACUAGUUACCUAGCCGACCAAUCGAUCAUAAGGUUAAAGGGAAGGUCUAAGUCUCAAUAAAUCGAAAGUGCCACGAAGAGGGGUGAUAACCCGACUACGAUAAACCAAAUCCGUUAUCCUAGAAACGACGUGCUAAAAAUAACUAAGCCGAAAUUUGCUUAACGAACCGAGACCACUUGUGGGCUUCGACUCCAAACUCGUUUCUCCUUACUUCCAACGGCCUAAUUACUCUUCGAAUGACACAUUAAACUCCUGGUCUAGAGAUGAUACGAGAAAAGUUUUCUCAUUUGGGCCAGAGUGCGACUUGAUGUAAUCCUUAUACGCAACUUUGACACGAAUCCUGAUGAGAUCAGGACUGUCCCGAAUACUGUUUCAUCACACCACCAAACAGUACUUAGAAAGAAGUAAAAGCUUUCAUUCAAAGGCUGUGCAUGGCUAGCUAGCUGCUGACCCAACAAAGUUGAUUUCAUUUCAUUUCCUCCAACUUCCCCAACCACUCACAUUAUUUGGGGCGAGUGUCUAUAUGACCCACUCAAAUUGAAGUUUUCCAUUUUUAGGGUAAUUUGGUUUCCAUGUAUUUUUCGUAUCGAUCAUGCGACGAAUCAUCCUCAUUUUGUAAUAGUAGAUAUUAGAUGUCUUAAUAUGGUAAUUGGGCAUCAAAUAAAAAAAACGACACGUUAGCUAGUAAGUAAUCACGACUCACUAAUUAUAUAUCAAUCAAAAAAUUGUGCAUGUUAUAUAUGGCUAUAUAUCGAUUCACCUUAAUUAAAGUUCUCCCAUUUUUAGGGUAGAACAAAUAAGUGAUCAUAACUUACUGAAAUAUCAAACUGCUCAAAUUUGGUAUACUUAAACAUUGAAUUUUUUAAAAUCAAAUAGUUCUCAAACAUAUUCUCAAUCUUACAUAAUCAGAGUAUGACAUAUUUACGAACAUAAUAUGAUUUGUUUUAUUAUUUUUAUAUUUCAAUUCACCAUCAAACCNNNNNNNNNNNNNNNNNNNNNNNNNNNNNNNNNNNNNNNNNNNNNNNNNNNNNNNNNNNNNNNNNNNNNNNNNNNNNNNNNNNNNNNNNNNNNNNNNNNNNNNNNNNNNNNNNNNNNNNNNNNNNNNNNNNNNNNNNNNNNNNNNNNNNNNNNNNNNNNNNNNNNNNNNNNNNNNNNNNNNNNNNNNNNNNNNNNNNNNNNNNNNNNNNNNNNNNNNNNNNNNNNNNNNNNNNNNNNNNNNNNNNNNNNNNNNNNNNNNNNNNNNNNNNNNNNNNNNNNNNNNNNNNNNNNNNNNNNNNNNNNNNNNNNNNNNNNNNNNNNNNNNNNNNNNNNNNNNNNNNNNNNNNNNNNNNNNNNNNNNNNNNNNNNNNNNNNNNNNNNNNNNNNNNNNNNNNNNNNNNNNNNNNNNNNNNNNNNNNNNNNNNNNNNNNNNNNNNNNNNNNNNNNNNNNNNNNNNNNNNNNNNNNNNNNNNNNNNNNNNNNNNNNNNNNNNNNNNNNNNNNNNNNNNNNNNNNNNNNNNNNNNNNNNNNNNNNNNNNNNNNNNNNNNNNNNNNNNNNNNNNNNNNNNNNNNNNNNNNNNNNNNNNNNNNNNNNNNNNNNNNNNNNNNNNNNNNNNNNNNNNNNNNNNNNNNNNNNNNNNNNNNNNNNNNNNNNNNNNNNNNNNNNNNNNNNNNNNNNNNNNNNNNNNNNNNNNNNNNNNNNNNNNNNNNNNNNNNNNNNNNNNNNNNNNNAUAAAAAUGCUUGAUAACAACCUCCGUUGGAAUUUUGAUUAUCAACUUAAGCGAUUAAGAUAGGAUUGCUUCAAAAUCUACAGCUACAUGCCAACUCCACACAAUCACACAAAUUACGAUUAUUUAAUUAUUACACAUAAUCAAAUCAAAUCAAGGGUUUAAAUUAGAAAUAUAAAAAAUAUAAAAAAAUUAGUUUCCAUUUUCUUUUUUCUUUUGUUUUCCUGGUCAUUUAUGAAUCGUGUAAGAGUAGGAGUGUGUUCUUUCAGAGAGAGGCAACGUAAAAUAAAAAAGCUUAGCUGGCACGAGAGAGCGGGACACCCGGGAAAGUCAAAGGUCAAACCACCGCCGUCCUCCGCCGCACAUUUCUUCCCCGGCGGCCGCCCACAAACCCUCUUCCUUCUUUCUUCCCUCAGUCAUUUGAUCCAUUCAAAUACUUUUCGUCAUCCCACACAUGGGUUCCGUCUCUGUAGUUCAUUUCCACUAAUAAUCACUUCUCAUUGUUCCCUGAUUAUUUAAUUCCCCUCCAUCUCUUUUCAACUGAAGAAAAACUGGGGUUUCGCGAUACAGAGAGUAGUAGGUAGAGAGAGACAGAUAGAUAGACAGAGAGAGAGAGAGAGAGGGAAAGGAAAUAUUAUUGGUUGCCAACAAUUUACUUUAAGGUCCCCCCCUCAACAGAAAAAUACUCAGAAGGAAGAUCAAUGGCGAAGAAAGAAGAACGGGUUUGAGGAGCUGUGAGUUUCUCUAUCAGCCAUGGUGGAUCCAGCAAAGGCAUUUGCUCUCAUAGUGUUGAAUCUGGUUGUGCUGUGGUUUCAGCCGACAUUUCAGCAGCAGAGGCUCACCUCUGGUGUAGAGCGAGCUGCUUUGUUCCAGCUGAGGUCUGAUUUGGGCAUAAGGAGUAGAGAAUGGCCUAGAAAGUCCGAGCCUUGUCAAUCUUGGGCUGGCGUUACAUGUGUCAACGGCACUGUUACUGAGAUCAACAUUUCUGGCUUUAGAAGGACUAGAUUGGGUUCACUGAACCCACAAUUUGCUGUGGAAGCACUUGCCAAUUUCACCAAGUUGACUUCUUUCAAUGCUUCCAAGUUCUUGCUCCCUGGCUCAAUCCCUGAUUCCUUUGGUCAAAUGAUGGUGAGUUCUACUUCUCUCCAGAUUCUUGAUCUCAGCUCUUGUGAUAUAACGAAUGCUGUUCCUUCAAGUUUAGGGGAUUUGAGUAGCUUGAGCCAGCUUCAUUUAGGUGGUAACCGGUUGACUGGCAUUAUACCUUCCAGUUUGGGUCAGUUGCUUCAGCUUUCUGUACUGAAUCUCUCCAGGAAUCUCUUUACCGGCUCCAUACCUUCUAGCUUUGUUAACUUGGUGAAUCUCACGAGUCUCGAUAUGUCGUCGAACUUCUUGGCUGGUUCGAUCCCUCCCAUUGGUGGGAGCGCGCUUCGAAGCUUGAAUUUCUCCAACAAUAGCUUGUCGUCUUUUCAGUUUGGGAGCCUUGUUGGAUUGGUAGACCUUGAUCUCACUAGCAAUUCGUUGUCCGGAUCCUUGCCAGUUGAGUUAAGUGGGAUGAGUAGUCUAAAAAGCUUGCUGCUUGGUAACAACUUGUUUGGUGGACCUUUGCCAUCGGGUUUGUUUGUUGCCAAUCAAACUCAGUUGCAGAAUGUGGUUCUGAGCAACAAUGAUUUCACCGGUUCUGUUCCGGGGGAAUUGCUGUCGAUUCCUGGAUUACGGUUGUUGGAUAUAUCCAGUAACAACUUUACCGGGAUGCUCUUGGAUAGUAGUAACUCGAAUGCGAAUGCGAACACUACUGCAGCAGUACUGAACAUUUCUGGAAACCAGUUCUAUGGAGGUCUUGGACCUGCGCUGAGAAGGUUCAGUUUUGUUGACCUGUCUGGGAACUAUUUUCAAGGACCGGUUCCUAACUAUGUGAUUAGCAAUGCAUCUCUUGGUAGAAACUGUCUUCGUAAUGUCACGGAUCAGAAGAGCUUGUUUGACUGUUCGUCGUUUUACUCCAGUCUCGGGUUGACUUUCGAUAAUUUUGGACUGCCGAAUUCGACUCAACCUGAUGUUAGGAAGAAGAGCAAGAGAAACCUUAUCAUAUUGGUAAGUGUCCUCGGAGGGAUCGGACUCUUGCUUUUGAUAUUUUUUGUUGUAGUUUUGGUGUUUUGCUUGCGUAAGAGGGGCACUUCGAAUCAAAGAGGGGUAGCUGUUGAACCGGCUCCAACAGGGACAGGGAUGGUUCCACCGCCUCCGGAGGCAUCGAUUAACUUCUCGAUAUUGGGAGAUACGUUCACGUAUCAGCAGCUGCUUCAAGCUACAGGUGAAUUCAACGAUGCAAACCUCAUCAAACGUGGCCACUCCGGAGAUAUCUUCCGAGGGAUAUUGGAGAACGGAACCCUCGUGGCGAUAAAAAGGAUUGAUCUUGGCGCGAUCAAGAAGGAAUCGUAUCUGGUGGAGCUUGAUUUCUUCAGUAAAGUUGCGCAUGCUAAAGUGGUUCCACUUUUGGGACAUUGCUUAGAGAAUGAGAAUGAGAAGUUGUUGGUCUACAAGUACAUGCCGAAUGGGGAUUUGGCGAGUUCGUUGUUCAGGAAAACUAGCUCGGAAGAUGAUACCUUGAAGUCGUUGGAUUGGAUUACGAGGUUGAAAAUCGCCAUCGGUGCUGCAGAAGCUCUCUCUUGCCUGCAUCAUGAAUGUACACCGCCCAUAGUGCACAGGUACUUGAAAAAGUUUAAAGCUUUAUGAUUUCUAUUAUCCAGAAGUUCAAGCAUUUUCCAUUCUUGAUAUAGUAAUCAACGAUCUAUGUAGUCUCGGCUGAAGAUGUAGUUGCUUCUGACUAUUUAGAUUUGCAUACUUCACAAUCUAUAUGUGUAUAUUCUAGUGGGAAGUUUCAUCUUAUCUUACAAAUCGUUCGAAGAGAGAUAUCUAGGAGGAGGGAAGGAGUUUAGUUGCCAUCUGCCUUUACAUCAUGUGAUGUGCUUUCUUUCGGAUGUUGUUUUCCUUACAUUAAUUACUAUGUGUGUAAUCUUCAAUGUCCAGUCACUGAAAGAAUUAUGCUUUUGUUGUAUUGUAGAGAUAUUCAAGCGAGCAGCAUAUUACUCGACGACAAAUUCGAAGUCAGGUUAGGGAGUUUGAGUGAGGUUUGUGCUCAAGAAGGGGAUGCUCAUCAAAGCAGGAUCACCAGGUUACUGCGAUUGCCGUAAGUAUCUGAAUGAAUCACCGUCUCUUGCAUUCUUUGCAUGUGUUUCUGAAGUAUCGAUAUUUCCGUGCCUUGCUGUUGAUUGAAAGAGUUUGUUAAUUCUAAUUUACCUUGUUGGAAAUUGCAGGUCUUCAGAUCAAGGAACUUCCGGUACGUAGUUGAUCUCAUUCCCCCUGAAAACUUCUCUUCAUUGCCUUAUUGUGUUUUAAAGGUUUCUUUUGUCACAAGCAACCUUUAUAACUGGUUACUGAUUUUUUUCACCCUUUGAUGGAUUCAUUCAUCCAGCUCAACCGUCAGCUACGUGCACCUACGACGUGUACUGCUUCGGCAAGGUCCUCCUCGAGCUAGUGACAGGAAACCUCGGCAUCAGCGCAGCCAACGAGGCCCAACUGAAAGAAUAUCUUGACCAGAUCAUACCGCACAUCAGCAUGUACGAGAAGGAACUCGUGGUCAAAAUAGUGGACCCGUCUCUAAUGAUCGAUGAAGACCUGCUGGAGGAAGUUUGGGCUAUGGCCAUCGUAGCAACGUCGUGUCUGAAUCCGAAACCCUCGAGGAGGCCGCUAAUGAGAUACAUCCUCAAGGCGUUGGAGAAUCCUCUCAAAGUAGUGAGGGAAGAAGCCGUGGAUUCAUCAGCAAGGCUUAGGACAACUUCGUCUCGAGGAUCGUGGAAUGCUGCCGUGUUUAGUAGCUGGCGACAGUCCUCCGAUGUGACAGUGGUCCAGCCCGGACAGGCUGGUGGGGUCGGUUCGAGCAGCCGGCCUGAAGGGGUAGGAGGAGGGAGUAGUAGUCUUAAACAGUCAGGGACAUCGAGUGGUGGGGGGCGAAACGGGAGCGGUUCUUCGUCUUCACAUAGGCGGGGUUCGAGGGAUAUCUUUCCAGAACCAGGUUAUGAGCAAGAUGUAGAGAGACAACUACAACACGAUUAGCAAGAUUGAUUCUUUUUGUUAAUAAGACAGCAGAAGCAACAGAAAGAAGCAGGCUUUCCCAUUUCGAGUGUCUGCUUAGAGUGUGUUCUUGUACAUCUGCAGAUGAUCAGAGUUUGCAGGGUGAAAUGUGGGGUUAAGGAAUCAUUUUGAUUUGUUAUGUGGGAGAGGCAGAUUGAUGUCGCAUUUGAACAGAAGCUGCCAUUUUUUUCCUGAAAUCUUUUUUCUUGUAAUUGAGGGUUCCAUUGUUCUUCUUGCUCUUUUGGAGCAGUGUAAAGGUGUAUAACUUUUUGGGGGGGAUUCUGGUGAUAUUGAAUGAGGUUGCAACCUGCAAAAAAAUUCAUCCAGAAUCUCCAAGCGAGGGAUUUCGGUGCAAAUAUCUCUAACCCAUCAAAAUCUUUCGUCAGAACGUUCUCAUUGAUCCUAUUUUGCGACCCAUCGACACUCGCCAUUAUCAUUCAAUUUCGAGCUGUGUUGUCACAUGAAUGGAGAGGUAUGACAUGACCGAUUAUCAUGAGGGAAGAGUCACUGCAUAGAUUAUUUAUGCCGUAGGCCAUGAAUUUAGGCAUUGACUGUCAUUUCAGUUGUUCUCAAGUGAAAAGUUGGUUAGUUGAAUUUGACCAUUUCCAAGGUUCUGUAAAGUCCAGAUAGUUUAGAUUCUUUUUUUGACUAUUUUUAUGAUUGAAUCCUAGAAUGAGAAGAGGACAUUAAGAGAAAUGACAAAAAUCUGGUUUCAAUUUGUGGAUAAUAAGAGAAGUUGGUAGGAAAAUAAUGAAUAAUAAAAAUGGAGGUCCCACCGAGAUUUGAACUCGGGUUACUGGAUUCAGAGUCCAAUGUCCUAACCACUAGACCAUGGGACCUACUUGCUCUUGGUCGGCACCAACUACUGACAUAUUGGAUCACAGACAAGGAAAUGUAGCCAUGUAAUGAGAUUAUCAAAUCGAGCUAUCCUAACAACACCACUUAUACUUUACUUCUGGUAAAUUAAAAAGGUAACAUCAAUUCACCAACAAUAUCAUCUAACUAUCCUAAGGUAACAUCAAUUCAAGUGCAUCGAGCUCGACGGAAUCCUGAUUUGACUUUAUUAGAUAUUCGAGUAGGUGUUCCAACAGAGAACGCAAGUAUUAACUCGAUUUCAUGGCUUGUAAAUAGGUUCAAUAACAUGAUUUAUAUUUCUCCUACUCAAAACCGUAUAUAAAUUGUUUUGUCCAGAAUUGUUAGUGGGAAACAAGCUCGAAUCAGCUCAUCCUCCAUGAGAGCUUCAAUGUUCCGGCAUGAACUUGCCUAAAACUUAACAAGCCAUACUAGAGGCAAGGUAAGCUCGACUUGACUCAACUCAUCUCAUUUACGGCCUUGUCACAGGGUACACAACAAUGACUCCAAGAAAACAAAGAUAUGUAAAAACCACAUUAAGAAUUUCCAACGUUAUACUUAACGAGUCGAGCUUGAGUCAGGGUAAAAUUGUGUCAUGUUCUUCACAUAAUAGUUGAAAAUUCAGAAAACUGAAUCAUAAGGUAUACAUGCAUUUGCACUUUCAUCAAUCAGAAGACAAAAACAGGGAAACCUACAUGCCACAAAGACCUAUAAACACAGAUCCUCUUAUUCUCAAUGUAGCAACUUCAAGCAAUUCAACUGCGCAGAUGGGAACAUUAUUCUUUCAGCGGUACAGACUCUCCGACCGGAGGUUCUCCGCAAUCUCCGUCUCCCAGCGGUCGCCGUUCUCGAGUAGCUUCUCCUUGUCGUACAAGAGCUCCUGCAACAAAUGUUCGCAAUGUAAGAGGCAUUGCCGCAUACAAAACUCUUACAACUAUUGUUUUAUGGCAACGGUACUGACCUCAUGGGUUUCGGUGGCAAAUUCGAAGUUGGGUCCUUCAACAAUGGCGUCUACAGGGCAUGCCUCUUGGCAAAACCCGCAGUAGAUGCAUUUCGUCAUGUCAAUGUCGUACCUGGCAGACAAAAGUUUCGAGAUGAAGGAUGGGGGAAUCUAGUGAUGGUGAUAAAAGGAGAGAUUAGAGCAAGUUCUUACCUAGUAGUCCUACGGCUUCCAUCUUCUCGUUCCUCGGCCUCGAUCGUGAUCGCUUGUGCAGGGCAUAUCUGCAAACAGUAGGGGAGAACAAAUGAGGGAAGUCGAGAGAUGAAGAUGAAAAGUAAGAAUGUUGAACCAAUCAACAAACAAAAAUCUCCAAGCUACAGUGAGCCAAAUGCUUGCUAUGAUGCACUAGACUUAAAUGUUCAUGUCUAGCUUAGUUGCUUUCUGAGUUGUACGAGCUUCUAGUCAGAUAAAUGCAUCCACUUAUAUUUUAUAUAAGAUUUGGGGAAACGUUAGGAAUUUGGAGAGCCAGUACUAAUUCUAGUCGAAGGCUAUAAAAGCUUAGUGGCACAAGCAGAAGGAGAACUGUCACUUACAGCUUCACAAAGUUUGCAGGCAAUGCAACGUUCCUCCCCAGUAGGGUAUCGACGGAGAGCAUGCUCCCCACGGAAUCGUGGGCUCAAAGGACCCUUCUCAAAUGGAUAGUUGAUCUACGCAAUCAACAAAGGAAUUGACAUUGUAUAUCCCUUCCCAACACCACCAGGGUAAGCCAAAGACGUCAUGAGAGUUGUAGAAGAUACUUACAGUAACUUUUGGUUCGAAGAAGUACUUCAGUGUCAACAUCAAACCACGGACCAUUUCAGUAAGGAAGAGUGUGUUUAUGCUUCUCUCGAAAACUGUAUUAAGUUUAAUGCUCUAUUAUGUGCUUUACAUGUAACUUGACAAUUGACAUAUGGUAAGACAGAUUUCAGUGAAGAAGUCAUCUUACCAGCAUUCCAGUCCUUCGAUAUUUCCUUUCCAAGCUGCUCUCUCUCCACAUCCUCUACAGUUAGAACAAAAACAUCAGACACGAACAGAAGCAGAAAAUGGACAAUGUGGUAAACAUUGUGGUAGGCAACUGAACUUUUAAAUAUCAUACUUCCGUACAACCACUAAGGUUUGGAUACAUAGAACCGUGCUGCAAACCAAAUUUGUGUUUCUUAUGCAAUACAUAUCCAAGUUGGUAUAGAUCUUUACUCAGCAACCAUGAUGAAGUUUUGAGAUGAUGAUAAACCCAUUGCAAGCAUCUACCCAUAAAUUCAUUUUGAGUUAUGCAUGCUAAAAUUUUCAAAUAUGAGCAAAGAAUAAUACAGUUAGGAUGAAUCAACAUAUGUGUGUGUUUCUAAAUGGUUGAAUAUAGAUAGGCUCACCUCUGUCUGUUGAAAAUAAUGCACUUGAUCGGGUGGCAUACAGAGGUGAGACUCUCAAAGCUGGACCAGACAGAGCCUGAAAGCAAGGAAUGUAGAAACUGUUACACCAUGUAAACAACAAACGACCAAUAGAAGUUCACAAUCCUAACAAAUUUCAAGCAUCCAUGCCAACAUGAGUGCAUGACUGUGAAGGCAACCGAAAAGCUGAUGAAAGUAUCAUAUGAUUACCAAUAGACCAAUGAAAGUAUUAACACACCGUUUGAUUAGUUACAAACGAAGAUAACGAUGCAAUAUUUCAGCUUGUCCAACAGCUACUGAUACUUCAUACUACUACCCAUACAAUGGUAUUUAUUUGAGACCUAUGUUCGAUUACUUUUUAUCACUUUUCAUAACAUAAACAACCCGCAUAUAACUAACAUCUGGACUAUGUAUUAGGCAAAUCUGUAUGGUCAGGGUUGCUAAGACUUACUCAUACCACCGAAACUCUAAACUUGAUAUUGUUAGUCUGGAAAACCAAGUGUCCAUCCAUCAGUGGAGUAGUAAUUAGCUAGUAAACAAAUCUUUUGAGGGCCUUAGAAACCUUUGCGGCUGAAAUCACAUUCUCAGCAGCUUCUUACACGGUUUCACUCGUAAAAAAUGACGAAUUCAGAGACAACUACAGCAGAUUCAUCACACUUCGUCAAGCUGAACCAUUAUAAACGACACAGAUAUAAAAAUUCGGCAUUUUAACCACAUAAAACCCAGGUUAUGCUAUUCAUCCUAUCAGAACACGAGAUCACGCAUGUAGCAAACAAAUUCACUGAUGACAAUAGGAACCCGAGUUUCCAUUUCCUUCCAAACAGCUUCCAACAAAACAGGAACGAAACAGUGGAUUUUAUGCAUACCGUCAAUCGAUAAAACGCAGAGAAGCUAGACCCUAAGAAGAGAUAAACUAAAAUGAAAUCAUCACGACACCGAAACUAGAAAGACCAAUUAGAAGAAGAGAUUUGAUAAGUUUCCUCUCACCAGCUGCCGAGCGCGGAGUGUGGAGAGAGAUUUGCGAGCCAACAUGGAUGCCAUUUCUGUGCCGAUUAGGCGAUCCUCCAGUGUCUAACCUUCUUCUUGUUCUACCUUCGCCUGAGAAACUCUCUGAUUCGCAAGUGUAGAAGAAGAAACUGAGACCAACCAGGUUUGGGUAUGGGUUUCUUCGCUCCAAUCCGGUUUAGGUUCGAGAACCCCACCGAGUUACGCAGAACCAAGAUUUCAGGGAGAUUGGACCGACUUAUUUUGAAACGGUGCGUUUUCUUGCGGCCCGCCUAGAUCCGGCCCAAUUACUCUUUUUUAGGAAAAUAAAAAAUCUAAACAAAUAUAUACAACGUGCUAUUCAAAUCUUCUUAGCCGUUGAGAUCCAACAUCCGCGUACCCAUUAAAUAUUCACCCAUUAUUGUUUAAAUUAUCCGGUUAAAAAUAUUGGUUAAAAGUAUUUGUUGACGGAUAUGGGUAGACUUAAAAUUUACAUAUAUCGGAUAAAAAAUAAGAAUAAAUUUAAUAAUAUUCGUCCCGAUACCCAUCCGACGGAUAUUAAAACUUGUAUUGCUUGUUAAAAUUGAAUGUAUAGCUUGUAAAUGCAUUUACUCAAGUGGUUUUGAUGCUGAACUCACUCUCAUUUUCAUUAUAGUUUCAUCAAAUCAGCAAGCAUUGACAUAUUGUAGUAUUUUCUAUUGAAUAAAAUAAUUUAUUUUUAGUAGACGGGAAAUUACCCGUCGGCUAAAUGGGUAAAAUCAUAAAUUCGUUAAUGGGUAGGUAUGGUUUGAAUCUCAUAUCCGUUUAUACAAACGGAUGAAUACGGGGAAAACCUAACAACUAGACAGGUGAGUGAUGAAUAUACUCAACCCGUACACAUACCCACCCGUCGCCAUCCUUAUAAUCAAAUAGCUAAAUCAAACUUAAUCCGAGUUUUACUGUAGAUAGAGGCUCGGAGUUGAUGACGUUUAAUUGACGGUCUCCCAAAAAUCUUUCUAAUUAUUAAUUUAGACGUGUCUUUUGUCAUGCACUGCAAACCAAUAACAUAUUUAUGUAUGAGUUCAUCGGAUCACAAUCCGUUUCAGUUUUUGAUCUAGAACUCAAUUGUUAUGUAAAAUUUGUAUUAAGAGAUCGAACAAUAUACUUUGUAUUGUGUUGAGCUCAUUAAAUCUCCAUCUAAAUUAGUACCUCAAACCAUUCUAAAUCUAUAGGAACAAUAAAGAACGACGUAUCUUUACUCGAAAACCUUGCCAUUCAAACAAUGAUAGAAUCGGAUUGAUCGAAAACCUUGUGUAGGAUUAUAAAUUCAAGUUAGCACAAAUUCCAAAAUGCACUGAAAUUUCGUCACUCGAAAAAUGAUAAACAUUAACCCGUACUCACCCACCCACCCCACCACCAUUGCUUCAAACCAUGUCCCGCUCCCAGCCAACUUGUUACAACAAUAAAUCAAACAUUCAAUUUCAUCUCUACCCAAUUCCUCACAUCAACCAAUUUAUCAAAACCCAUCUCAUUCCGCCGACACUCGUCGACGAUAGUCUCUGUUUCCCACUACCCCUGUCUCAUGGAUUCACCGGCGGCGAGAUUCCCAACGGCAGGCAAGCCGAUCAGAUGCAAAGGUAUAACAAGUCAUCACUCAUCACCAAUUUGUUUUACAAUUUAACAUAACUACACUGUACAUUAUAACUUGUUUUUUUUUUCUUGUGGAUGUAGCUGCGGUUUGCCGGGAAGCAGGGGAGCCGUUGGUGAUAGAGGAAGUAAUGGUGGAUCCGCCGCGGGUUCGGGAAGCUCGGAUCCGGGUCAUCUGUACGUCUGUUUGUAACACGGAUGUUAGUUUCUGGAGGAUGAAGGAUUCCCCUGGUGGCAAUUUCCCCAUAAUCCUUGGUCACGAAGGAUUUGGGUAAGUCACAGUCAACUAGCUAGUUAACGCCUUUAUCUUUUCCUGAUUACAUUCGGAUUUCUCACACAUGCCUCGACGAUCUCGACUUACGCAGGGUCGUGGAGAGCGUGGGAGAGGGCGUGGAAGAAAUGAAGCAAGGGGACAGACUGAUCCCAGUAUUCCUUCCGGACUGCAGAGAUCAAUGUGCGGAUUGUAGAUCGAGCAAGAGUAACUUGUGCUCCAAGUUACCGUUCAAGAUCUCGCCGUCGAUGCCGAGAGAUGACACGAGCCGAUUCAGAGACCUGGAAGGAAAUUUGAUUCACCAUUUCCUCUACGUGUCUAGCUUCAGUGAAUAUACCGUCAUCGAUGUCGCCCAUCUCACCAAGGUUGAUGAAUCGUCCCUUGCGGUGGCCAAUAGAGCUUGCCUCCUCACCUGCGGCAUCUCUGCAGGUAAGACAACAACGUCGACUACUAUGUUGUGCCGACAUAUUACAAUGAUAAGGAAACGAAAUGUAAUCAAACUACCGGACUAAUUUUAAUCAUCUACUAAAAUGGACAAAAUGGACUACACGUGACAUUUGAAUUUGAUUAAUUUUUCAUGAGUAUUUAUUCCAUCAGACUUCAUAAUCUGAUAAUAGUGUUUUUACGAAAUAUAACUCAUUUCAUCCUCCUUUAAUUUUGUGUUGUGAUUAGGUAUUGGAGCAACUUGGAGAGCUGCAGAAGUGGAUGAAGGAUCCACUGUUGCAAUCUUUGGCUUGGGCACAAUUGGAAUGGCUGUAAAAUUUCAUUUCCACUCCUCCAGUUUGUGUAAAGUACAACUUUUCCUACAUUAAAACUAAUUUCCAUCAAAGGUACUUAGAAAGAAAUUAUGUUACCUUUGACACACUAGGUUGCUGAAGGAGCAAGACUCCGUGGCGCUGGCCGAAUCAUCGGGGUCGAUACAAACCCAGAAAGGUUCGAAAUCGGUGAGAGAAACCGCAACUGCAAAUAUCCAAUUUGUACAUUUUGUGUGUGUUAUUUUCCCUCAUUAUAUAUUGUUACUAUUUAGGGAAGAAGUUUGGCGUAAAGGAGUUCGUCAACCCUGCUAGCAACGGAAACAAGCCGUUAAGUCAAGUGAUCAAGGAGAUGACUGACGGAGGAGCGGACUAUUGUUUCGAAUGUGCCGGGUCUCCGGUUUUAAUGGAGCAAGCCUAUGCUUCGGCUCGCAAGGUAAAAUUGAAUUAGACACGUCCCUGUAGUCUCUAUCUCAUCGUGGAUCGUUAUGGAAAAAAUGUUUCGAGUUGUUUAGGGAUGGGGGAAGACGGUUGUGUUGGGCGUUGGCGGGGAAGGUUCAGAAGUGAAAUUGAAAUGCAUGGAAGUCCUUCAGAGUGGGAAGACACUCACCGGCGCGCUCUUUGGCGGGCUAAAGCCGAAACCCGACAUCCCAAUCCUGCUCAAACGUUACAUGGACGAGGUAUAGACCAAACUUGAUGCUCCCUUUAUCUUUACUUCAGUGUAUCAUAUAUAACAGAUUGAUGUUUUUCGAAACGGUUAAUCUGUUAGCCAUGUGGGUUUGGAUGGGUAACCACAAGAACCGAUAAGCUAGCGAGUCUUAGUCCGGGACAUCGAAACAUAAGAAGAGUUACCCAUUAUUGUUGUGUUUUGGUGAUCAGGAGUUAGAUCUAGACAAGUUUGUGAUGGAGGAAAUGGAGCUCAAGGACAUCAACAAGGCCUUUGAUCUACUUCUCCAAGGGAACUGCCUUCGUUGUGUGAUUUGGUUAUACAAAGGAGAAUAGGGAGAUCAUCGAGCCAUCGGUGUUAAUAUUUUUCAUACUCUUUUACUUCUCGACAAGACAUAUUUAUUGGACUAUUAUUAAUUAUUUUUAUAUUUUUUCAAGCAUAAUCAUUUUAUGUCACAAAAUGUGUAUUUGAAUAUUUUCAAUAUUGACGAAAUCAAAGAUGAUCUAAUACCGGUUUUUUCCCUUCUUAAAUAGCUCUUUGUGAAAAUAAUAAACACACAACCUCAGUUAUCUAUCAAGUAAGUGAGGACUAGCAACACUUUUUAAAAAAUAUCUAAAAAUCAGACGUAUCACUGAAUGGACAACUCAACCGGCGCACAAUCUAAAGCCGGAAAAGCCCAGUGAAUGAUGACCUAAUACCCGUUGUAUGGAUUUGGUUGUCAUCCGGUCAUCCCUAAAUUCCGUAAAGCCCAGUGAUCAAUGAAAUUAUAAUGCUUUAUGCUUGGCCCAAUAUUCAUUAAGCCCAAUUCUGCGACGGUGCUGAAUCUGGAUUCCCAUUCUUUCCCAGUUCCCACUGUCUGUGAAAUCAUCGAACCCUUUCUCCGACGGCCUAAGCUUCUUCAGUCCCUCCCGUAAUCCGUCCGCCGCAAAUCACCAGGUAACUUCAGAUCAAUCUGGUUUUAAACCUCACUAGGAUGAACCUUAGUUCGUUUAGCAAGUUCAUGCCUGUUCUUGAAGGUCGAUAUACACGAAAUGGUGGUGAGGUUGUUUGGUUUCUCAAGAACAAUCGAAGUCGAAGUCUUGUCUACUGUAAUUGCAUUGUUCUUCGUGAUGAAUGCUGCAGUAUUACUAUAAAGAAAAAAACCCAGUUGAAUUGUUCUUGAUGACGAAUUCUGCAGUAAUAUUACCUCAGAAUUCAGAUCAAUCUAGUUCUAAAACCUCAUUACUAGGAUGUACCGCAGAUUGUUUAGCCAGUUCAUGUGAAUUGCUUGUUCUUGAAGGUCGAGAUAGACGAAAUACUGAUGAUUUUCUUUGAUUUGUCAAGAACCAGGUCUCUGUCUUCUUAAUUGCAUUGUUUCUUCAUGAUCUGCAUUAUUAGUAGUUAAUUGAACAAACCAGUUGCGUUGUCCUUAAUUGCAUUGUUUUUCAUGAUGAAUGCUGCACUGUUCUUAGUUUAGUUCAGUCAAUCUAGUUUAGACCUCAUUAGGAUGAACCGUGGAUGGUCCGUCCGUCUUCUUAAUUGCAUUGUUCUUCAAAACGAAUUGCUGCAAUGUUCUUCUGACGAUCCAAUCCGAUGUUGGAUAACCAGAUUGAUUGCAGAAUGAAGAAAGGAGCACACCCACAAAUGCAAUGGAUAUCCUAUGUGACCCAGAGCGGCAGACUGAUGAAUGUUAUGAUGACCAAAAUACACAACACUGGUAAAGUCUACCACUUCAGAGCAAAGCGCCAAAUGGCUGAAAGUCUUGGCCAAAUUGCUAAGUUCAAGCGUCGCUACGGUGGUCAGGACGAGAACCAGGAAGAAGCUGACAAAAAGUAAAUCGAGCCCAAAAGGAGCAUAUUGAAGUUCGGCUCGGCUAAACAAUGAUCGUCGGACUAUUUUGACGAUGUUGUCUUUGUUUUGUGAUUCGGUUGCACCAAGGAGAUUAGAAGGAGACCAAUCGAGUUAUCCUUCUCUAUGAUUAUGUACUCUUUUUGCUUCUUUGGGAAACAAUGGUCGAUCAGACUGUUUUGUUGAGUUUGUCUUACUAUUUCCCUUCUGAAUUAUAUUUUUGGACUGGAUUUGUCUUCAUUUAAUGAUUUGGUUGCACAAUGAAGAAUCAGGAAGAUCAAUCGAGCCUUCUUCGACAAUAAUAAUCCCAUCAAAAUUCAAAAUCUAAUCGAGUUGGUAUCGGAAACGUUCGGAGAAGAACCUCAUGUCCGAUUUUACUUUUUUGUUCUAGAUAUGAAGACAACAAAAUAAAAGCUAAAUAAUAUAUGUGUUCAGGAUUUGAACCAAAUACCUCCACUUAUUUCCUACACCAGAUUGCAUUAUUUCCGCGACAAAACGACGCCGUUUGCGAAGGGGCUAAUCGUAGGGUUUAAGCGGCCUGUCUUUUGAUUCCAGUCUGUCGAUUCUCUGUGCAACAGAAAACAAUGGCUUCAUUUUGCAGGUCAGCUCUAAUGGCGACCUUAAGGUCUCUAACGAUCGAACCAAAACCCUGACUCGGAAUUCCUUCUUCUCCUCCUCUUCUUCCCCUGCAUUCAGUUUACCUUGUACAACCCGAGUUGUCCGAAGCUCUUCAAGGUAAUUGAAGCUUUCCUCCCCGUCGCUCCUCUCACUGCACUUCCUCAAUUUCUCACUUCACGAAUAUGUAGGGUUGUUUCGAGUAUCGGGAGCGUGGAUUCAUUGAUUCUUUUUCAUACCGCCACAGCGAAUUCCCUGCUUAUAUCCAACAUUGCUGCCGAUUCCUAAUCUCUAAUCCUUGCUUUGGUCCAGGCCUCACGACGCCAUUGUGACAGCACGUUUCGUUCGUGGGGGGAUAGUGAAGUUCGAAAGGAAGACCUGCAUUUUCCUAUUUCGUUUGGUUCUUGGUAUUACUGUAUCGAACUUGUUUCCCUCAGAUGAUCAUUGCUGAGGACUUACGGAUUCUUACCACCGAUAACAUCUGCUAUCAAUCGACGGGUUUGAAGGAUGAUCUUUCGCAAUGCAGUUCCGUAACUUUUAAGGUUUUUUUUCCACGCAUAGUUUCUGAAACUAACUGCUAGAGGCGCAAUGAUGAUUGUAUUUACUCUAUCGACAUGGGACCUUCACUCAGCAUACUAAAUCCAUUUCAUAAAGCCUUCAAUACUGGGGUCAUAAGUACUUAAGCAUUGCCAGAUCCUCAAAUGUGAACUUGCAAACACAACUAACACAAAGGAGAUUGCGAGAAAAGACAGCAUUUACAAAUCAUCGUCACCGUCGUAAAAACAACGCAGCAGCAGCGUAGUCGAGGAUUAUACGACGAUCGGCACGUCUUCUAGGUUUAUGUACAUACUUAGAUUCAUGAGUCUCUAUAUAUUUACAGACUACCAAACUGCCAAGUUCUCAAAAGUUUAUUCUUAGACAAGUCGGAUAUUUCGAUGUUCUUCACAAAAAGCAUUCGAGGAGUUCAGGACGAAUACCGCAAUAAGCAGCUACUGUUCACCGAUCUGCUGACGAGGCUGAUCUUCAGGUGGAGGGCGAGUUGCGCGGCGGAACCAAGUGUUGAAAGCGGAGAUCAAGUGGGGGCAAUCAUCAACGUUACGAGUCGACAAGCUGAGGCACUGCUGAAGCAGUUCCUGUGAAUCUGACAUUGGAAGGGUUGAGAUAAUUCUUACGAAUGUCUCCUCAAGCUCCAGAUACAGUGCUUUGUGGCCAGGCGACAUUGGUGAGACCUUGUCUUUGCAUAUUAUCAGAACUGGAAGCCAGUCGCUUACCAGCUUCAUCCUCACCUACAACACAGCAUCAAUCAGAACUUCAUCUAUGGUUCUGUAUCAUCACAAGCUUUACCAUUUCUCAAUCAGAAGAGACAAUGCUCGAGACAGAAACAGUACAUUAUGAACGGGACAUCCAGUACCGUACCUGUCUAGCAGCAAGAAUGGUUCCAGUAGCAACAGCAGAGGCAAGCUUGUAAGUGCAGCGGAUCAUAAUGGCAGGAAGCCCGGGAACAAUAUUCCUCCAAACAUCAUCCCUAAAAGCCCUCUGCAAAUCAGCUGUAAAAGCAGACUGCUCACUCCAUUCCUUCACAGCAUUAUCCGCUACUCUCAGCUCGAUCAUCCUCUCCACUAGCCACAGCAGCUGCUUCCCAAUGGUCAUGGCCGUGUGCAGAUUCAACCGCUGUAUGGCCUCUAUCUCGUUGUGGUCUCCUCUGACAUCAGGGCUUGAGUACUUCUCCAACGACUCCUUCACAACCUUCAAGCUCGUCUGGAAUGCCUUCUCCAAUACUGUCCUAGCAGCGUUCCUCGAAGAGAAAUCCCUCAAUAGCUUCGCCACGAACGCCUUCACGUAGGCCAUGUUUGGCUGGUUGUUGGUUGCAGCGGCGGAGAUCAAACCUUGAAGCAUUUCCUCGCAGGAAUCCUCCUUCGCCGGGGAAAGUCUGGCUAGGAGAUCUUUAGAUUCGUCCUCGCUUAGGAACGGAACCAGCUGCAGUACUCGCAUUUCUUCCUCUUCGUUCCACGGCACCGCUUCAAGGAAUCGCACGCAGUUGGAGACGCAAUCCUCGAACAAUAACUCCAACGCCACAGGUAAUAGAUCAAGUGCGGCCGAGACCGAUGUUAUCACCGACGGGAAAUCGUUCGUGUAUAGAAGUUCCAUUACAGCUAACCUGAGAUCGAUCGAGCCAGGUCUAGGAGGAACGCCGAGCUUCAGGUGCUUCGGCCUAACCUCGGCAACGGAAUCGACACCGUCGUCGUGAUGCGAUCCCUUCUCAACGCCAUCGUUCCGCUGCCAACGAUCGGAUAACAGGGCCGAGAAAUACUUCGCGCGGCGGAGGACGUCGGAAUGGAGGUAGAUCUGGACGUCCGACAUCUCAUCGAUGAUACAAGAAGAGCCGGAACUAGAAGCGUCGUCGCCGAUGGAGAGGGCUGUGGGGUCGACGUACAGGAGGAGCAGCACAUCUGCGGUGGAGGGAUCAUUAAACGAGAUAAUGGAGUUGGUUGAAGAAGAACAAGAAGACGGUGAUAGGAGGUGAGGAUGAGAGGACGUUCGACGGAUCUUCUGAGACGUUUCGCUGAUUGUUCUGUCCGACAGGGUUUCGACGAGGGCUGAGGUGGACGAGACGCGAGCGGCGGCGAAUUGGCGGGGGGGGGGGGCCGUGCGCUGCCGUUUCUUAGGGUUAAUCGGGAACAUUUUCUUUCGCCGGAGAAGGUUCUGGAUUUGGUGGAGGAGACGGAGAACGACGAUAGGGGUUUUUUUAGGAAGGGGGUUCAGGACACGUGGCGGGUAAUUACGCGAGUGAAUGAUUGUGUGUGGGAAGAUCAGUGUUUAGAAACGUAAGUGAGACACGUGUCUGGUUAUUGUCCCUCGGAUUUGUUUACUUGAGGAAUGAAGACUAAAUUAAGGGCCAGAUGGAGACAGGUAAAAUGGGGUUUGCCACAUUUUAGUCUUGUCAAAUUAUGAUAUCGGAUAAGAUCGGAGAAUUGCCAAUAGAUACUCUCGUCGGUCUCCUCUUUCUCUUUUUCUUUCCUCAUUGCAAAGUGUAAUAUGGAUGUUAGUUUCAAGUCGUUGGAGUAUCGUUGGGUUAUAGUAUGAUUUUAAGAUACCAUGGAGCGUUUCAUUUUACGGGCACUUUUAAGGUUCGGGAAGGAGAAGCAGUAGUGUAAUUUGAGGCUAUGAAUUAGACGGUUCGUUCGUCAUUAAGAUGUUGUCUUCAAAAUAGAUUCGGUCGAGGUUGCGAUGGAAAUAUCGAGUAGCACACACGUAGCAUUACAGAGUUCGGCCACAAUAUAGUCCCUUAUAGUGAUUUUUUGCUUGUUAGGUCUUUAUUUCGCUUGGUUAGUGUAGGAACGAAGUCGUUCAUGAAUUUGUUCAGCGAUCCUUUUACUUUAGCAUUGCCAAUUCUUUGACAUACAACUCUUCUUUAGCUCGAACAUGCAUUUUCAAAUAAGUGCAUGCAUCUUGAUCAUCAAAAUUAUGAAGGUGACUUUGCUUUAAAAAAAAAUUAUGAUUUGAUUUUUAAAAUUCAUUAGGAAAAAGGACUGAAAACUUUUGUAUAAAAAAUAAGGACUAGAAACUGAAUCGAACAAAUUGAUUUUUGAAUUUACUAUAAAGUAAGUUGUGAAUUUAUUGUUUUUAACCUUUACUAAAAAGCCAUCGAGUAAAGAUUUACAAUAAUCGAUAGUGCACUAAACAAGAAAGAAAAUUGUGAUUUACUCUUCAAUAAUAUUUACCAUGAUAUUCGAGUUGGGUUCGCUAACAAUAGUAAUUUACAAAUCAAGCUUGAGCUAGACACAAUAUAAAAUUUUCUAACGAAUCAAAUUUGAGUAUGAUAAAAUUCGACUUAAUUCAUAAGUGAUGAAUCGGGAAGUCUAUCCUAUUCAAUUGAGUUGUUUUCCCCACAUGUUUUAGUAGGAAAAUUCAAAAUGCUUGGAGGUCGAUUUAUUCUAAAUUUCUAGGAAAUACUACGUCAUCAGAUUAUUAAAGACGAAAUUGAAAAUUGAAUUUAGCUUCCAAAGAGCUCCCAUGCCUGCCUGCCUUGAAUGAAUGCCAUGCAGCAUCUGCCCUUCCAAAAUCAGCUAACAACAAUAACCAAAGGCAAAACCAAGGUCCAAUAAUGCAAACAUCGGGGUCAUCCCGGCCUGGAGUUAUGAUGCAGCUACCUAGCUCACUUUCGAAUUUUGAACUUCGAUUAUACGUAAUAGUUCCAAUUUUUCGAAACAGAUAGGUUACACCAAUUUACUUAAAUAGAUAGGUGACACCAAUGUAAUUUUCCGAAUUCGCCAUAGUUUCAUUACUCGAUCUUGCAGAGAACAAUGAGAAAAAGAAACAAAGCAUCAUUAUUAUUCAGUUGCGUAUAGCCAAAGGAAGUGAGGAGCUGACCAAAUAAAUAUUCUAAAACUCGGAUUUUACCUUUUUUAUGACCGGUUUGGUCGAGUUGGUUAGACCAAUGUGGAUUUGGCAAUAUUGAGUAACCGAAACUCAAAAUAAAUGAAUAUGAAUUUGGAUAUCUAUCCUAUAUUUGAAUUUCUAGUAAUCGAGAGACAACAUUAACUAGUAACCGUGUGAGAAAUUUACACGUUACCAUCUCAAUUAUAUAAAAAUAAAAAAUGUAUAACAUAAAUGAAUAAGAUACUAAUUUAUUACAUCUCGUAACUACUUACAAUCGUUUCGAACAAUCACCCGCAUAAAUAAAUUGAUUAUCACAAUCAUAUAUAUCUUGAAUAAACCCUCGACUCCGGUUCAAGCUAGCCCACGCCAUGAAAGGCCAAUUUCACCAUUGUUGUUAUAAAUUAUCAAGAGAAAACAGAGGAAAAAGUCAGACCAAUCAAUCUCAACGAUCUCAGAGCUAUGGCAUCAUUGUCUUCUUCCUCUUCCUCUUCCUCUUCAUUUCUUUCCUUUAUUUAUGUUUAAUUCUUCAUUUCUUUCUUUUCUUUCCUUUUUCCCUUUCCCCAUUAUUAUAUCCGUUGAAGCUCCUCCCCUGUCUUCUUCUUCCAUCACACUCCUCACUCCCUCUACUCCGCCAUCCAGAACUCCCUCAAACAAUGCCGGCCGAACGAGCAAACGCCGGCAAUGAGCUCACUUCUUCCUCGCCGACGUUUCUAAACCUCAAGCUCUACAUCCUCAUCGGCAUCUUCUCCGCCUCCCUCAUCUUACUCUGCCUCGCCGUAUUCCUCUGCUUCCGGCUUAACCACCUCUCCCGGCGGCGCGUGAAGCACAGCUCCGGAUCCAUCCCUUUAGUACUCUCCGAGAUCAGCACCAACAGUACCACGAACAAGGAAUCCAUGGAUCUCGAAGCUGCAAACGGCGACGUGGGUAAGCUCGCCUGUACCGAAUCCCCCGUGAAGAAUCAGGAUGAAGUUAAAGUGCCCGUCGGGGGAAAUGAGUUGACGGCGGUGGAGGGAUGGGGGAGAUGGUACGGGUUAAAGGAGCUGGAGACAGCGACGAAGGGGUUUGCGGCGGAGAACGUUGUAGGAGAAGGAGGAUACGGCGUCGUUUACAGGGGAGUGUUGGCUGAUGGCUCUGUUGUCGCCGUCAAGAAUCUCCUCAACAACAAGUGAGUUCUUUUUUUGGUGUACUUACUCUGAAAUUUGUCGGUGAAAGCAAAUACCUUAUCCCCCUUUUACCCUUUUGUCGCUUUCAUUCAUGAUUCAUUAAUGGUGGUGGGUAUGUGAUUUUGGUAAUUUUGCAGAGGACAGGCAGAGAAGGAGUUCGAGGUUGAAGUAGAAGCCAUUGGCAAAGUACGGCACAAGAACUUGGUUGGCCUGAUUGGCUACUGUGUUAAUGGCCCUAGCAGGUACAUCAUCCAACUUUCUUAAUGUCUGUAAAAAAUCAUUGAGCUAAUUCUAUAAUUUUCUCUGGUUUCAGGAUGCUGGUCUACGAAUUCGUCGACAAUGGCAACUUGGAGCAAUGGCUGCACGGAGUUGAUGAACCCAUUAGCCCCUUAACAUGGGACAUCCGGAUGAAGAUCGCCAUUGGCACUGCCAAAGCGUACUGCGCAGACAGCUAGCUUUAGUUGCCUCUACUGUUCAUUAAUUCUGCCAAUUUCUGCUGUUUAUAAAUCUCUGCGUAUAACUCUGUCUCCACAGGCUAGCUUAUCUACACGAAGGGCUAGAGCCAAAGGUGGUGCACCGUGACGUGAAGUCGAGCAACAUCCUCCUCGACCGUAAGUGGAACGCUAAAGUCUCCGACUUUGGACUGGCCAAGCUUUUGGGAGGCGAAGCUAGCUACGUGACUACUCGAGUCAUGGGAACAUUCGGGUUCGUAAAGCUUUCUGCACAUAUUUUUAAACUAUUUCAAAUAUUUUUCGAGCUGGUUGGAUGGGUUACAUUUUAAGGUUAAUCAGGUUACGUGUGAUGAGCCAAUCGUGUUAUGUUGUGGGUUACUCCAGUUAUAAAUUGAUCAAGUGAGGAUUCAAUUAGACAACAAUACAUUUGAGUGCGAAUUUUCCCGACUUUCUUGUUGGGGGAAUUAGGGUUGUUGAAUUUUAUUCAACUCAGGUUACAAAUCGAGUUGAGAGAAGAUUGAGUGUCAUAAACUUUUAACAGCUCUAGUUCAUUGUAAUAACUACGAAUCAAAUGUGUAUGUUCGGACUAGAGUAGCACAUAGACAUAUGCCAUUUUUGGAAGUCAUUAUCAUACACUUGAAACAAAUUCGUGAGGGUUGAUGUCCAAAAUGGACAAUGACUUUGUUGACUCAAUGAAAUCCAUGUUUUCCCUACUCAUUGCAGAUACGUUUCUCCCGACUAUGCAAGCACGGGAAUGCUCAACGAAGGGAGUGACGUAUACAGUUUUGGAGUUCUUCUCAUCGAGAUCAUCACAGGGAGGAGCCCUAUCGAUUACUCCAAACCGGCUAGCGAGAUGAACUUGGUGGACUGGUUCAAGGGAAUGGUGGCUAGGCGUCGCGGAGAAGAGCUAGUUGACCCUUCGAUUGAAGUUCAGCCAUCCCCAAGAGCUCUGAAAAGAGCCUUGCUGGUUUGCCUUAGGUGUAUAGACUUGGAUGCCUGCAAAAGACCAAAGAUGGGGCAGAUUGUUCAUAUGCUUGAAAGCUAGAUUACUUCCUUUUUCUUGUUACUUGGAUUCCAAGUUACUGCAAAUGGGGUUUACUCUCAUUAGUCAUUCAAGCUAUGUAUCUUAGGUUACAAAUCAUUUCGUAAAAGUUAUAAAUUCUUAACAGAUUAACCAAUCGAAUAAAUUUUAAAUGAAUCGUUAACCAGUAAAUGUCCACUCUAUUUUAGAUAGGAUGAAAUCCAAAUAUUAGUUAAUUUUAUUUUAAUUGUCUUUAAAAAGUCCACAUAGGCCAGAACAAACACGUGGCGAGACAACAUUCGUUAAUCCAGCCCAAAAAAGGAGGAAAAUAAGCCCGCCAAAAAAAGUAGAGAAUUACAUCUCAAUCCACCAUAUCAGCAAUCCUUUUUUCUUCUCUCAAUUCUUCCCCAAAUUGAAACCAGAAGAGAAAUGAAACAAUUUCCGACUGCGCAUUCUUAAAUCAUCCAUACGAUUAUCUCACAAGUUCGCCAAAAAUAUCGAUCGGAGUGAUUGAUCCUACUGCGAUGGAGGAGAAGCUGAUCGCUAGGCUGGAAUCGGCCGUGUCGCGGUUGGAAUCGCUGUCUUCUUCUCCCGGCUUCACAUCCCGGGACAUCGGCGGUGGAGAUUUCGUUUCCUCGUCUCCCGAUCAGUCGAUUCUGGCAUUUGACGAUCUGAUCCGCGAGUCAUUCGGUAGGGUUUCCGCCGCUGCGGAGAAGAUCGGGGGACAGGUCCUGGAGGUUACCAAGGUAAUUGGUCAGGCUCUUAAUGUCGAGAAGGAUCUUCUUGCAAUGAUCAAGCAAACCAAGGUAACGGUUGUUCUUCGUCGAUGCUCGAUCUCCAUGAUUGAAUGUGUACGAACAGUGGUGGUUUUUUGGUUUAUUCUUUCGAAUAUUUUUUUUGAACAGAAACCUGACAUGGCGGGAAUGGGUGAAUUCAUGAGGCCUCUAAACGAGGUGAUUGGGGAAGCGAAUGCGAUGACGGAAGGGAGGAGAUCCGAUUUCUUCAACCACUUCAAGACUGCUGCCGAUAGUCUUUCGGCUUUAGUGUGGAUUGCUUAUACUGGCAAAGAUUGUGGUAAACUGAAGCUUCGUUUGCUGGUUUUCUGAAUGUCUCUAUCGCUAUGUUUUAUUGUAUUGCUGUUGUUGAUUUGGUGAAAGGUAUGAGUAUGCCCAUUGCACACGUAGAAGAGAGCUGGCAGAUGGCUGAAUUCUACAAUAACAAGGUAAAUAGUUUACAGCUACAGCUCUGUUUGUAAAUGUGUAUGGGGAGCUGAUGACUCUGUUAUGAACGUAGAUUCUUGUGGAGUACAAGAGCAAAGACCCAAAUCAUGUCGAAUGGGCGAAAGCUGUGAAGGAACUCUACUUGCCGGGUCUGAAGGAUUAUGUUAAGAGCUACUAUCCGUUGGGUCCGGUAUGGUGUGCUACUGGAAGAUCUGUAGCCUCUAGGCCAAGUGCUCCUGCUCCUCCACCAGCUUCUCAAUUCAGCGCUGAAUGUUCGAAAGCUUCAUCAUCAAAGCCAAAGGCGGGCAUGGAUGCUGUGUUCCAAGAGAUCAAUUCUGGGAAACCUGUAACUGCAGGUAAUGCCAACUUUAGUAUUCUGUUUAUUUGCUGUUAGUGAAUGUAUGCGCUUAGAGUGAGGACCAAUGUGUUGAUUUAUAGGUCUGAGGAAGGUCACAAACGAUAUGAAAUCCAAGAAUCGCGCUGAUAGGACUGGUGUCGUUGCUACCACUGAGAAAGGAGCUGCUUCUUCAUCUUCGUCUUCUUCAAAGAAGACGGGACCUCCUAAAUUUGAGCUUCAAAUGGGUCGGAAGUGAGAGUUCUUUCUCUUCAUUUGUUUCUUCCAUUUAUAUAUUUUCCUCCUUCCAGCUGGCUAAUAUCUUACUAUGUCUCCCAAUUGACUGAAUCUUCUAACAGGUGGGUUGUUGAGAAUCAGAUUGGAAACAAGAAUAUAGUCAUUAGCGACUGUGAUGCAAAGCAAUCAGUGUAUAUGUUCGGAUGCAAAGAUUCUGUUCUGCAAAUUCAAGGUAAUUGUCUAACAUUUACUGUGAGCUUGAUCAAAUUCUAUGUCUGUUUCAUGCAAGCCAUGUUGAAGUUAUCAUGAAGAUAGAGAACGACUAACUAGUAAGCUUAAGCUAUCUCCUUCAUUGUGCAGGAAAAGUGAACAACAUAACCGUUGACAAGUGUACUAAGACCGGGGUGGUAUUUUCGGUUAGUAUGCACUCUUAUCAUAUUAAAAAUACUGAAGCUCACUUUUGAUCUCAUAAGCUCACUCUAUUCCCGUCAAUGCGAAUGCAUAGGAUGUCGUAGCUGCUUGCGAGGUUGUAAAUUGCAGCGGCGUUGAAGUGCAAUGCCAGGUACAACUCUUUACCCCACUUUUGUUCAAUUAUCAACAGAACAGGAAUCCUCUAAGAUUAAUCCCAACAUCAUUUGAUUUGGUGCACCAUUACUUGGCUUAUAUCAGGGUUCAGCUCCAACCAUUUCAGUGGACAAUACUUCUGGCUGUCAGUUGUAUCUGAGCAAGAACUCCCUAGAGACGUCCAUAACCACCGCAAAGUCUAGCGAGAUCAAUGUGGUGGUGCCUGGUGCUGAGCCUGAUGGUGACCUGGUUAGUCUAUCCCUACAAUCUUCCAUCCCCAAGUUACUAACUUGGACCACUAUGUCUCUUAGUAUAUCAUCUCUCCCCAUAAGGGACCGAGUAACACAUUCGACACUCGAUAUUGAUUAGCUAGACUCUUAUAACGUCAACAAAUUCGUGGAUUGAAUAUUGCCUCCGAAUGCUCUGGAUGUUUCUAAUGUCAUUAAGUAUCACAUGAACAAAUCGGUCCUGCCUAUGAGUUAAGACAUAACCAGGGGGGUUCCGCUACAAUGUGCAGGUAGAGCAUGCUUUGCCACAGCAGUAUGUUCAUCUGUUCAAGGACGGCAAGUUCGAAACGACGCCGGUUUCCCACUCUGGAGGGUAAUUUCUGUUCAGUUGGAGUAUCCUAACCAAAGGUCUCUUCUUUCAGAGGAGUUUUUCCAUUUUUUAUGAGUGAUUGAUUUCUGAUAUUCUGUUUUUGCUUCUUCUUUUUAUUUAUAUUAUUUUCUUCUUUCAAAAUUUGUUGCUUAAAUUUGAAUUUGCAUGUAAAAAUCAAUAUCGCUGGAAAAUCUUCCAGGGUUUUGCUUUCCCACAUUUCAAGUCUUUUCGAAAGACUCAUUUGCAUUAGAGUGAGAGCUAUUGCUAUUAGUACAAACCAGGCAACAUAACGUUUACAUCUGUUAGGCAUCAAAGUGAGAGCUACUCGAACUUGGCGUGAUUUGAGAUAUUUAAACCUAUACACUCAAUAAAUAUGUGACUUUUUCUAACUCAUCAUCCAAUUAUACACAACUUUGAAAGUAGUUAAAUGGAAGGUUGUAGAGUGGAGAAGAGUAGUUGCGAAUCCGGGGAUAUGAAGACAUUUGAGUUGGGUUUCCUCGUCGGAGAUAACACAAUAAAUUCAAUGGCAGGAUCAAUUUCUGCUUUAACGACAUCAUAGCUUAGAAACACUAUGCUCGUAAUGUAGUGGUCGGCCUUGGUAGGUUAGGAUUGAAUCUCAAACACAAUAUGUAUGUAUAUUCGUAUGGAUAAAUUGGUCUUUCUCAGUUAUUUCAGUUCGAGUCAAUUAACUUAAUUGAUUCAAGUUGGUUGACAAUUACUACGAAUCAAAAGUGUUGAUUCGUUUAACCAAAAUCGCGAAGGACCUUUUUGGUGUCGAAUAGUGAUGUCGGCUAAGGAGGAAAGUUGUGAAGCUUUGACGUUGCUCAUCUUUUGGAUGGUGAUGCAAUGUUGGAUUUGGGAAUCCCCUUUUCUUGUGGUCAACCACUACCAAUUCUACAAUUCAAAAGAAACUCUAUAAUUUCUAUGUAAAUUAUAAUACAUGGAGAGCAAAUAGUAAAUACUGGUCCAACAAUCUUAGUGGUCUCCCAUUUUGGACAUCUAAAAUAUUUUAGGUACGGUUUUUAUUAUUAAAUUUUAUUAUUGGAAGAAAGAAUAUAUACGAGUCAUAGUUUGGAAUAUAUUUCUGAUUAGAGAACUAUCAAGCCUGAAAGAUGAAUAAUAUGAGCGUCAAAAGAUAGUAAACCGUAAAUUUUCGUACAGAAUCUUAUUCAUUAAGGGAAGUUAAUUUUAUUAUAUAAUUUGGAAAAGCUGUAAAACUGAAUAUUCAUAUGGAAAAUUUAUACUCACAACCUGGAAUAGUUUAGAGAUAAACUAUUCAAAGAUAUUCUACGUAUAUUAAUUACAUUAUACACGAUAUACAUUUAUGUACUCACUCGUUUGAUCGGUCGAGUCUGCUCAUUUCGAUUUCGAUUACUCAAUUUUCAUAUAUGAAGUGUCAAUGCUACAAACCAUCUAUUAUUUUAUUACAAUAUUAAAACUCAUUAUAAAUUGCCAGAAAAAUAAAUGGACGCACAUUCCUGAAACAGCCGUUUUCUAACUUUCCUACUCUGUUACUCGGAAGAAAGCUCCCAACUCCAACAAAGAACAACAACAACAACAACAACAAGAAGAAGAACAAGACGGCAAAAUCAAAUCAGAUUCUGAGCUUCCAAAGCCCAAAUCCGCCGUAGACUACGAUGCUAAUUCCUUCUCUCUCCGCCGCCUUCCUCCUCCUCCUCCUCCACCACCACCAUUUCCCUUUCGCAAGUAAGCAAUUCUUCCCACCUCUCUCUCUCUCUAUCUAAUGCUUUCUUUCUCACUUCCCAGAUUCGGUAUCUGAUUGAUUUACAAUUUCCCCUGUUUAUUUUUUUCCGCCAGAUUCCCAAUCGUUCAUCGGAGUCAACUACGGUCAAGUUGCCGACAACCUCCCGCCGCCGCCUGCCACCGCUAAGCUCCUCCAGACAACCACCGUCCAGAAGGUCCGCCUCUACGGCGCCGAUCCGGCGAUAAUCAAGUCCCUCGCCAACACCGGGAUUGGAAUCGUGAUCGGAGCAGCCAACGGCGACAUCCCGUCGCUCGCCGGCGAUCCCAACUUUGCGGGCCAGUGGGUCUACACGAACGUCCUCGCCUUCUAUCCGGCCAGCAACAUCGUCCUUGUCACCGUCGGCAACGAGGUCCUCCUCUCCGGCGACCAGGGCCUCGUCUCUCAGCUCCUCCCGGCGAUGCAGAACGUCCAAAACGCUCUCAACGCGGCGUCGGUCGGCGGGAAGGUUAAGGUCUCCACGGUCCACUCGAUGGCGGUUCUGGGCCGGUCCGACCCGCCGUCUUCGGGCUCGUUCGACCCGAAGUUUGGAGACACGAUGAAGGCUCUGCUGCAGUUCCAGAGAGCGGUCGGGUCACCGAUUGCUGUUAAUCCGUACCCGUUCUUCGCGUACCAGAGUGACCCGAGGCCGGAAACGCUGGCGUUUUGUCUGUUUCAGCCCAACGCGGGGCGAGUCGACUCGGGGACUGGGAUCAAGUACAUGAACAUGUUCGAUGCUCAGGUUAGUAGUACAAGAGUCAAUCCUCUAUUCAUUAUUUAUUUAUGUAGUUUGAAUUUAGAUUUUUGAACUUGAUUAAUCACAUUAAAUUUGUCUGAUUAGUCCACCUAAUCAAUCAUUAAUCAACCAAGGUAAAUAAAUAGUAUAGAGUAGAGCAUAAAUUUGUGUGCAUGGUUAUUUAGAACCACCCUGCUCGGUUCAAUUUGACGAGUUCGGUUCUAUUUGGUCAACACAUCCCGGGGUCAGACUUGUAUUUUAUUGCCAUUCCUGCUCGAAAACCAUACAAAUAGUAAAUAUCGAGUUCGAAUCCAAUUCUCCAUUAUAUAACUUUAAUUAUUUCUGUCUAUUUCGGAAAAAAGUGUGAUGGAAUGUUCAAAUUUGAAUCUUUGUCACUAUUCACCAAACGGGCGGUUGGCAUGUUUUAUAUUUAAUUGUUAACUAAUUAGUAAUUAGUACAGUGACAAAAGAUUGUUCAUUAUAUGUGUGGGCCGGAAGUGGGCCCAGGCCCAGACCUAAUCUCUGGUACCCUGAGCCGGAAGACAAGCAUUACGUGCGACAGACGCAUGUGAUGUGAUCACCGAUUACAAAGGCUAAGGUUGUGUUGGAUGAUUAUAUUUGUCUGUAUAUGUGGAAGAAAACGACGUAGGAUCGUUGACGAAUUAGAUCCCGACCUUAUGGGGUUGGUCGCCCAUGGCAAAAGGGGCAUGAUGACUUGACGCCAUCCUUACCUUUUCUCCGGCUUGUCACCGGCAGUACUCUGGCUCAGGGUCCCAAACUCAACGGUGGACACGGGGUUGCGCUCGUUGCGGGACUUAAUCAACAUUGCUUCUUUUGUUUUUCUAACCCAUAGUCGUUUUCUUUCGAUUUUGAAUGUCAUUUUCACAUUGUGAUUGUAUCGAUUGAACAGACUCCUGAUCUUACUCAUUUGUUUUGGUUUUAUUUUUUUACUGGUGCGUACAGCCCAGCAUGGGCCACUGCUUGCACCAAAAAAAUCAAUGGCCUUUUCUCCAAGGGUCUUUCUAGUCAAUUAUUAUAUUAGGAGGGUGAUUAUUGCACAUUCAGAAAGGUGGAGGAUGGUGGACCCUAAGAGAAACUAAAUAAUGUGGAAAGAACGCAAAUAUUCCUCAUAGAGUUUGGUUUUGGUCUUCACUGGAAUUUGUCCUCUGCGCACUAUGUAUUGAUUAAAUGAAUCAUUUUCCUAUGAUGAAUUGAUGAUUCUGUUCGCCAAUCAAUCAUUUUGGCUCCAAAGUUCGAACUUUCGAAUUAGUGGCCGAAUCACUAUGCUAAGAUGCUAAGACAAUAUGAUAUUUUGCAGGUUGAUGCAGUAAGAUCGGCUCUGAAUGCAAUGGGGUUCAAGGACAUCGACAUUCUUGUCGCGGAGACGGGCUGGCCCUACCGUGGGGACCCGAAUGAAGUUGGACCGAGUAUCGAAAAUGCCAGAGCCUACAACGGCAACUUGAUUGCUCACCUUAGGUCCAUGGCUGGAACUCCGUUGAUGCCGGGGAAGUCAGUUGACACUUUCCUCUUCGCUCUGUUUGACGAAGACCUUAAACCGGGACCUUCCUCCGAACGUAGCUUCGGACUGUUCAAGCCUGAUCUUUCCAUGACUUAUGAUGUUGGUCUGUCCAAGACCACCAGCCCACAGGUAAACAGAGCUCUGUACUAUCAUUAUCUCAUUUAAACCUUGAACGGUUAGUCUUGACUCGUUCUGAAUUCGUUCCCUUUUGGUUAAAUUUCAGAGUCCACCGCCAUCAGUAUCGUCGAAAACGCCAUCUAUGCCACAGGCCACGCAGUGGUGCGUGUCGAAGCCAGGUGUGUCCGGGGCCCAGUUGCAGGCGAGCCUGGACUAUGCGUGCGGCCAAGGAGUAGACUGCACCCCUUUGCUCCCAGGAGGAGCUUGUUUCGAGCCGAACACUGUAGAGUCUCAUGCUGCUUAUGCAAUGAACCUCUACUUCCAGAGAUCGGAGAAGCGUCCUUGGAACUGCGAUUUCUCGCAGACUGCUGCCUUGACUUCCAAAAACCCUAGUGAGUUCAUUACUGUUUGAAUUUGUUCAUUCAUAAUGUUGAGUGUUUGUUGCUUUGUGUGAAAUGGAUUGUGUUUUUGUUUUUGGUGUUUUUGCAGGCUAUAACGGAUGCAAUUACCCUGGAGGUAGUACAUGAUUUUAUAUGAGUGAUGGUUAACUGUAAAUUUUUUUACUGUAAUAAAUUUGGGAUGAUCAAGUGCUGAUCUGGAAAUCUAUAGGAUGAGUGAUUUCAUUCAUAGUUUGGUGUAUUGGAUUUACAAUUCCAUAAAUUUAGAAGAGGAAAUGAGUAACUUGUGCAUUGACCAGGUUACCCUCUCCCAUUCACCACUUCUUUCAGGUCUCGUCCUCAUCUCUCUUUUCUCUUUCUCUGCAAGAUCAACUCCCUCAUCUCCUCCCUCCCUCAUUAAAUUAAGAAUCAAUCAUCUGAAAUGAGUUUGAUACUACGAUACUCUUUCUCCGAUCUGCUUUGCGUCGAAGCAGUGGCUCUCCAUCCUCGACGACCCUAACUUCAUCAAUUGCCAAGCCGACUGUGCUGUUUCCACAAACACCAAUGCUGCCCUUUCAACCAAGGCAGAUCAUGGCAUAAUCUCUUCUGGAAACAAAAGUUUGUCGGCAGGCGGUACCAGAUGCUUCUCCAACCCGAUCCAUCUUCUGUUCAGCUCAGUGUUCUUGAUCGGUUCUUAUCACGGUCUGGUAUGCUUUUCUCUUUUCACUUAUCGGCAUGAUUUCGUAUUAGUUAACCCAUCAACUGGGGAGCAACACACACUAAGAAAUCCCUCAAAGGAAGGAAAAGAAAUAUUAGGGCAUAAACCGAAAGAGUAUAUAUGGUUCGGAUACGACGAGUUAUCAGACGAUUAUAAGGUGGUCAUGAUUUUGGAAACAAGCUGGUCUGAUCCCCGCAAUCGUUCCUAUAUGGCUGAAAUUUACGGAUUCAGGUCUUUACGACGAUUCCUCUGCCCAAUGCAGAGUGGAGGAACUCCGAUUGUAAGUCAAUGAGGAGUACUAUACAUGGCAGUAGUAGUAAUGGUGAAUUCUUCAGUAUACUAGGUAUACCGAAACUUUCGGUGUGUCCAGUUUUUUUUGGUAACGUAAAUUCAUCACCAACGUCCAUUUUCAGUUUGCGAUCUUGACGGUUUACAAUUAUUCGAAUAUCAAAUUUCUAUUUCACAUUUUAUUUUUGAUCUCAUAUAUUAUCUCAAUUUAUAAACUAAUCACUCUCUUUAAUUCCUAUAUACCAAUUGAUACAAAAAAAUUUAAAACUAUACGAUAAUGAUGAUAUGUUUAAUUUUAAAGAUUUUCAAAUUAGCUAAUUUCUUAAAAAAAUAUAAAAAUCUAAUUAUGAUGAACUUGAGUGUUAGCUCCCUACGUCUUAAACUCCUAAUACUAGACAUAAUUAAUCCUUUUUAUAGACUACAUUCAUCCACACAAAGUGAUAAACAACUAAUCAUUUAUUGUUAUUUAUUUAGCUACAUACACAUCAAUAUCAUUNNNNNNNNNNNNNNNNNNNNNNNNNNNNNNNNNNNNNNNNNNNNNNNNNNNNNNNNNNNNNNNNNNNNNNNNNNNNNNNNNNNNNNNNNNNNNNNNNNNNNNNNNNNNNNNNNNNNNNNNNNNNNNNNNNNNNNNNNNNNNNNNNNNNNNNNNNNNNNNACAAAUAUUAAAGGAAGAACAAAGGAAAAAUAACACGGAGAAUUAACGUAAUUUCCGAUCUUGAGAUCGACUAGUCCACAGGAUAAGGAUGAAGUUUUAUUGAAAUAAUGAUGGGGAGGUAAUAGAUGUAAAGAUACAAGUAGACGAGGUAUAUAUACUUAUGGGAUUAGGUUAAUUAGCUAUACAUAUUAAGUCACAAGUCUAAUAGGACAUAGGGUGACCCAAUAACUCAUGGGUUAUCAACAAUAGUCAUCAUUACGCUGAUAGAGGAAUCGAUCAUUCAAUUGAAUUCGAUGCGUUAAUCAACUGUGCAAAGCUUAUAGGGUCCGUGUAUCUUAAAUUUUCACUAAAAAAUGGUUCAACAACCAAUCUCGACCCGUUUUGAAUUAGUUGAGCCGGAUUCCGAUACAAUAAAAUAAAAAAUACCUCGAUUUGUAACUCUGAGCAUGCUCAUAGCUACGGCCAAUGGGAAAGGGAUAGCCUCCGCAACCAUAUUGCCCAGCCUAAGUUCAACUGUGGCCUAAAGUCAUUUGGAUUUUCUAACCCUUUGCCCUGCAUGCAGCACUACCACUUGGCGUAAUCACAGGUCUUACACGUGUCCUUUUGCACUCACACAAUAAUGUCUCACCAUCACUUUCCCAUUCCUCUCACGCUCCCGCCUAGCCGCCAAAAACAAAUCAACAUACCAUCAUCAAUCCACAAUGAUCCCGCAAAUCAUCCGCCGCCGACGGCCGAGAAUUCCGACGACAGUCUCUAUCAUCCUGCUCCAUCUAUUCCUCUUCUCGAUACAGGGGUUUCGAUGAUGGAGGACAGAGCUGGGGAGGAUGGUUUGUUUGCGGCGGAGGAGGAGGCGGAGACGAUGGACACUAGCGGUUCGCUGGAUGAAUUUGACUGGAGGGACAAAGGAGCUGUAACCGACGUCAAGAUGCAGGUGUAUAUGCGUUAUAAAUUAUUAAUUAUCAGUCCUUUGGCUUCUUUUUAUUUCCCUCAAUUUUUGGCCAGAGGAGAAUCUUUCCCGUUCGAAACCGGUCGGAAUAAUCUUUCGUCGGCGAUUUGGAAGUGAAGGAAGAGUGGAGUAAAAGUUGGCUUUCGCCUAGCCGGUUCAUAGUAACAAGGCCAAAAGCCCAUAUUAUCUAUUUUUUUAAACUAUACAGGCCGCUGUCAUUUAGGCGGAGCAAAAUGGCGCGUGGGCCUGACAUGGGCCUGGGAAAUGCGGCCUGGCUCAACAAAACGGAUUAACUCCUGGUGGCGCAAAAAUGGGCAUUUUCAGACGUCUUUGGGGAAGGGUCCAGCUCCAAUCCGAUUUUGUAUGGAUCCGAAAUUUCGGCUGACCCGACCCGACAUUGGCCCAGUUAUUUUUGGGCCAGCUCCACAUCGCCCCGCUCAAAAGCUCGAAAGCCUUAAAGCCCUCUGACCCGACCCGCCCAAAACCCGACGACCCGGUUCGUUUUACGCGUGCAUUACACGCUCCAUUGAAUGCGAGUGGAUGUUAUUUUCGAAAAGUGAAAUCCCACGCGCAUGUGUAGUUUACGCGCCUAGAAAUUCACGCGCCAGCGUGCUGUACACGCGCCGGCCUGCUAUUUUUCCUUCUUCUCGUUGUUUUCCUCGAUUCCUCGUCUCGCCGGCCGUUGAAUCCUCUCGCCCUUAACUUCCUGCCCUUAAUCCUCUGAUGAUAACACAGUUCGCCUAUGGAAAGUGGGUUAUGAUAAUCGAUUGCCUCAUGGUUUUUCAUCAUAAUAACUACGGUAAUGCUUAGACUUGGUUACUUGGGUUUCUUCGAUAUUUGUUUUCGGGUGUCGCUCUUUCGCUGAUUGUUGAGUUCUGAUGUUGCAGUAAUGUGUGUUCAGUACAAUCCAGUGGAUGAAGACUACUUCAUCAAUGGAUCUAUAGAUGGAAAAGUUGGGGUCUGGGAAGUGUCUGGAUGUCAGUUAAAUCGCUUACCGACAUCAGAGAAAUCGUUUUAUAGACAUCAGAGAAAUGGUUGAUGCAAUCGCUUGCCGUCCUGCUGUAGAGAUUUGGAACAGAAUAUUUCUUUCAUUUCCUAUUCUUUCUGGGGGCAAGAAUGAAUCUCAAAGAAUCUAACUUUGGGAGCUAUUGUGGGAAAAAUGUCUGGAAACUGCAUUUUCUACGAGAUCAUAGGUGCUUGAUUAUGUUCUUAAGCAGCCAAAAUAACUGGUUGUUUACACAUAUGAAACCAUUCCUUACUCAUAUAGCAUUUCAUUCUCUUUGAUUAUAUGCAGAUAAAAUUUAAGAUUAUACGGUAAUGGCGUUACCUUUAAUUUUAGAAGUUUUCAAAUUGAUUAAUUUUUUUUUAAAAAAGAUAGAAAUUUAAUUUUGGUGAACUUUAGUGUUACUCUCCACUUCUUAAAACCAUAAUACUCGUCAUAAUUAAUCCCCUUUGUAGAUUACGUACAUCCACAUAAUCAAUGAGGAAUAACAAAUAUUAAUGGAAGAAUGAAGGAAGAAUAACAUGAAGGAUUAACGUAGUUUCUGACCUUAAAAUCGACUAGUCGACAGGAGAAGGAUGGAGUUUUAUUGAAGUAAUGAUGACGGAGAUAAUAGAUACAUAGAUACAAGUAGAUGAGGUAUAUAUACUUAAUGAGAUUAGGUUAAUUAGCUAUAUAUACACUAAGCCGCAAGCCCAAUAGGACAUAGGCAUCAUUACGCUGAUGGACGAAUCGAUCA